GAUGAACGCUGGCGGCGUGCUUAAUACAUGCAAGUCGAGCGAACAGACGCGGAGCUUGCUCCUUUGUCGUUAGCGGCGGACGGGUGUGUAACACGUGGAUCAUCCACUUAUCUGACUGGGAUAACCUCGGGAAACCGGCGAUAAUACCGGAUAAUAUAUUGCUCCGUAUGGUUCAAUAGUGAAAGACGGCUUUGCUGUAUCUUCUCGCUGGAUACGCGCCGCUUUAGCUAGUUGGUACGUUAACGGCUUAUCAAGGCGACGAUGCGUAGCCGACCGGUGAGAGUGGUCGGCGACACUGGAGCGUGAACACGGACCAGGCGCCUACGAGAGGCAGCAGUAUGGAAUCUUCCGCAGUAGUCGGAAGCCUGACGGAGCAACGCCGCGUGAGUUAUGGAAAUCUUCGGAUCGGAAAACUCUGUUAUUAGGUAAAAACAAAUGUGUAAGUAACUAUGCACGUCUUGACGGUACCUGAUCAAAAAGCCACGGCUAACUACGUG
This 497-nucleotide ribosomal RNA is filed under the name uncultured bacterium. RNAcentral describes it as "partial 16S ribosomal RNA". It matches the Rfam family "Bacterial small subunit ribosomal RNA", at positions 28 to 507 of the family's 1533-position model. The record is from RNAcentral.